CAGUCGCCACGGGAAUACGUAGGGUGCAAGCGUUAAUCGGAAUUACUGGGCGUAAAGCGUGCGCAGGCGGUUAUAUAAGACAGAUGUGAAAUCCCCGGGCUCAACCUGGGAACUGCAUUUGUGACUGUAUAGCUAGAGUACGGCAGAGGGGGAUGGAAUUCCGCGUGUAGCAGUGAAAUGCGUAGAUAUGCGGAGGAACACCGAUGGCGAAGGCAAUCCCCUGGGCCUGUACUGACGCUCAUGCACGAAAGCGUGGGGAGCAAACAGGAUUAGAUACCCCUGUAGUCCCUGUCUUUAUACA
Molecule: ribosomal RNA, 301 nt
Filed under: uncultured bacterium
Lineage: Bacteria
Description: partial 16S ribosomal RNA
Rfam family: Bacterial small subunit ribosomal RNA
Source: RNAcentral